UCGGGAAUAUUGGGCAAUGGAGGCAACUCUGACCCAGCAACGCCGCGUGAAGGAUGAAGGCCCUCGGGUCGUAAACUUCUGUCGAGAGGGAAGAAACGCGUAAGGUUAAUACCCUUGCGUCUGACGGUACCUCCAAAGGAAGGUCCGGCUAACUCCGUGCCAGCAGCCGCGGUAAUACGGAGGGACCAAGCGUUGUUCGGAUUUAUUGGGCGUAAAGCGAGUGUAGGCGGUUUGACAAGUCGGGUGUGAAAUCCCAGGGCCCAACCCUGGAACUGCAUCCGAUACUGUCAGGCUAGAAUUCCGGAGAGGGUGGCGGAAUUCCCGGUGUAGGGGUGAAAUCCGUAGAUAUCGGGAGGAACACCAGUGGCGAAGGCGGCCACCUGGACGGUGAUUGACGCUGAGACUCGAAAGCGUGGGUAGCAAACAGGAUUAGAUACCCCCGUAGUCC
This 448-nucleotide ribosomal RNA is filed under the name uncultured prokaryote. RNAcentral describes it as "bacterial SSU rRNA". It matches the Rfam family "Bacterial small subunit ribosomal RNA", at positions 355 to 796 of the family's 1533-position model. The record is from RNAcentral.